UGCCAAGAACAGUUAUGAGUGGACGGUGCUCGCGGCGAAAAAAUACCUCGGUCCGUAUCGCCUCGAUCCUGUGAUCGCGACCCGCGGUGAAAGAUGCUGGCUGUCGAGACGUGGAUACAACUGUGAUCAUAUAAAUUUAAGUCUAAAUUUGAAUCCAAGAGCGAGGAUCUUCUGCGUGAAGUUUCUUACGAUUCCAUCAUCUAAGAAGAUGCAUCGUUGGAUUAAAAAUUUCGGUGUUCCUCGCGAAGGAAUUAAAACGAGUUAUCCGAAGAUAACCGAAUUGCCUAAUGUCUGUCUGAUGUCUAAUUGCCUCUAAUCUAUCGAUUGUCUAACAGCAGAAUACGUCAUUAAUUCCAUGAAUAUUGAUGGUGCUUUUUUAGUGCGUCUUGGUUUCUGUGGAAAUUACAUAAUUGUUUACAUUGCAUAUGGAUUACAUUUCUUAAUGCAUCGUUAUCUAAUUAAUAAUAAAUUAAAAUAAAUAAUAAUAAGGUAAAUGGUAACAAGAUAAUAUAAUAUGUGUAGUAACGUUAAUUAGUAUAAAUAUGGAUGUAGCGAUAGACCACGUAAUUAAUUCUAGAUAACUGAAAUAUAGUAAUAAACGACUAAAGGGCGCAAAAAAAACCAAUUGAAGGAACGAAUAAUCAUCGCCACGUCAAUUAAGGAGAAACGUUCAUAGUUUGAUUUAGAAAAAAAGAAAAAAGUAUGAAAAUAAUCUUGCUCGAAACUGAAAGAUGAUAAAUCAUAACAUGAUAAUCUGAUAACCUUGAAUAACAACGUAUAAUGUUUGACGAAGACUGAUAUACGCAACGUGGUGAUUAUCGUUUAACGACUGAUUACAUCUUUGAAUGUCAAUCAAAAUUCUUUGAAAAUAAAUUGACAAGAUCAACGACUUGACACGGAAAAAUAAAAUGCCACGCUAACAAUUGAAUUUGGGUCAGUUCACACUUCACACGCGAAACCUCUGUAAACCUUCGGAAGUAUGUACGUAUUUAAUUUAUCUUUAAUCUUGAGAGGUUUGUAACAUUCGUAGAUAUUUACUACAUUGUUAAACAGCACAAAUAUGCUUCUGUUUAUACGUACAUCAGUUUACACAAUUAUUAAUACUAAAACUAAAGAGUAAUAAGAAUAAGCAAUUUGUAAUUUUUUAGUAAUUUGAAUAAUUUCUUGCAAAUUGCUUGUUUAUAAUGUAAACUUGUUUUCUACCUUGCAAUUAGGUUUAUAUUUUUUCACGUAUUUUCCAUCUUCAUUUCGUUGGUAAAAACUGUGUACGUUGCCAUUAUGUUAUUGUUCAGUGUUAUACAGGGUGGUUGGUAACUGGUGGUACAAGCGGAAAAAAGAAGUCGAAAAUAUAGAAUAAAUUUUACUUUAAAAAAAUUUUAAUUUUUUAUACUUUAAAUUUACAUUACUAAAUUUAAUAUAAAUUUUAUAUAUUAUAUAUAUUUUAUAAUAUAAUAUAAAUUUUUUUAAUUUUAAUAUAAAUUUAGUAAUAUAAAUUUAAAGUAUAAAAAGUAUAAGGUAUUAAAUUUUUAUUAAAUAUUAAAUACUUUAAAUGUAUAUUAAAUUUAAAUUUAUAAUACUAUAAAUUUUUUUUUAGAAAAAAUUUUUCGUUUGAGGCUUUGUUUUCGAGAAAAUCGACUUUGAAUUUUCGCUCGGUACGCGUGCACUUUAUCACGUCUCGUUAUAACGGAUCUCACUGUAGAUCGUUGUCUCGAUGGAAAAAUUAAAAAAAAAAAUUUUUUAUUCUAUAUUUUCGACUUCUUUUUUCGCGUAGAAUCACCCCCUUUCCGCUUGUACCAUCAGUUACCAACCACCCUGUAUAUAGUUGCUAAGUGUUAUAAAUUUUUGUUAUCCAAUUAUGCCAAUAGCGGCACACGAUGAUUUCUACAUAGGAUAGCUGAUGAACAAUGUGCUAAAAUCUGCUGUCUGUUCGGAACAUGCCUUUCGUGUUCUUGCCAAUGCGCCACAAGGAAGUUCGAUUACGGAUUCGCGGGAAAUCGAUUUAAAACGUAUAGAAACAUUCAAAGACGAUGGUCGCGUGAUAUUUGCAGAAAUACUGAAACGUAGAAACGUCAUUCUGAUAAGCGUAGAAGCAUUCUGAGACGUACUUUUUUAACGAUGUAAACGAUGUUAUUUAUACACGGUGAUCCAACAAUAACCACGCUUAUUAUUACAGACAUGAAAAAAGGUC
Long non-coding RNA from Bombus huntii, 2188 nucleotides. RefSeq lists it as uncharacterized. The record is from RefSeq and is a predicted model, not a curated record. The transcript has 2 exons. Lineage: Eukaryota; Metazoa; Arthropoda; Insecta; Hymenoptera; Apidae.